This 253-nucleotide ribosomal RNA is filed under the name uncultured bacterium. RNAcentral's name for it is "partial 16S ribosomal RNA". It matches the Rfam family "Bacterial small subunit ribosomal RNA", at positions 524 to 776 of the family's 1533-position model. The record is from RNAcentral.
UACGUAGGGAGCAAGCGUUGUCCGGAAUCAUUGGGCGUAAAGCGUGCGUAGGUGGUUUGUUAAGUCUGUUGUGAAAGCCCCGGGCUCAACCUGGGAAUGGCAAUGGAUACUGGCAAGCUAGAGUGCGGUAGAGGGUAGUGGAAUUCCCGGUGUAGCGGUGAAAUGCGUAGAGAUCGGGAGGAACACCAGUGGCGAAGGCGGCUACCUGGACCAGCACUGACACUGAGGCACGAAAGCGUGGGGAGCAAACAGG